GAUCCUGGCUCAGAUUGAACGCUGGCGGCAUGCCUUACACAUGCAAGUCGAACGGCAGCACGGGAGCUUGCUCCUGGUGGCGAGUGGCGAACGGGUGAGUAAUACAUCGGAACGUACCCUGAAGUGGGGGAUAACGUAGCGAAAGUUACGCUAAUACCGCAUAUUCUGUGAGCAGGAAAGAGGGGGAUCGCAAGACCUCUUGCUUUAGGAGCGGCCGAUGUCGGAUUAGCUAGUUGGUGAGGUAAAGGCUCACCAAGGCGACGAUCCGUAGCGGGUCUGAGAGGAUGAUCCGCCACACUGGGUCUGAGACACGGCCCAGACUCCUACGGGAGGCAGCAGUGGGGAAUUUUGGACAAUGGGCGCAAGCCUGAUCCAGCCAUGCCGCGUGAGUGAAGAAGGCCUUCGGGUUGUAAAGCUCUUUCGGUGGGGAAGAAAUUGCACAGGAUAAUACCUUGUGUAGAUGACGGUACCCGCAUAAGAAGCACCGGCUAACUACGUG
This 499-nucleotide ribosomal RNA is filed under the name uncultured bacterium. RNAcentral describes it as "bacterial SSU rRNA". It matches the Rfam family "Bacterial small subunit ribosomal RNA", at positions 15 to 507 of the family's 1533-position model. The record is from RNAcentral.